Molecule: long non-coding RNA, 1717 nt
Organism: Helianthus annuus (common sunflower)
Lineage: Eukaryota; Viridiplantae; Streptophyta; Magnoliopsida; Asterales; Asteraceae
Exons: 4
Source: RefSeq, a predicted model, not a curated record
UCCAAUGUACAAAAUGGUAAUUUCCUUUAAAAUUUUCAGACGGCAGACAAAUGGUCAUUAGUUCCUCCCUAAAAGCACGACCCUUUCUCCCAGUUUUGCCCUCAAUUCAAUGUCUCCGCUGCAAAGAAUUCAACCAGUCGAAUAGGGGAGAAGCAAACGUCAGUGCAAUUACUAAUACAUUCAACUUUGAAAUCAAUUCUUCCCACGAAACUGAAAUCAAUUACUGAUAACAUCAUUAAGGUUUGAUGGAUGAAACUGAUAUCACACCAAAAGCCACCAAAACCCUACGAUUUCAAUCCCAUAAAUCCGAUCAAUUCUCCCUCUCCAGCACUUGGACCAGCCGAUCGAUUAUCUCUUGGAAGUGACAGGGUUCCUCUAAUAGAAAAAGAUCAGAUUCUUUAUAAAUAAGAUAUCUUGCUAAGCUUAGCAAGUGUUCGGUGUUACCGAGCUGUGGCCAACGUUGACUACUUGACCGCCGCCAACCCCUUAGCUCUCCUAGAUGAUGCUUUGUUUCAAAUCACAUGGAGACUUCGAGAAAAAUUUUUAUUCAAAGUAUUACUUUCAGCUUCGAAGUGGAGAGAGUCGUCAUCUACCGAGCAUGUGGAAUAUGAUCAACGCCUUCCAAAGUAAGUAGUCUGGUCCAAAAUGUCCACAUACAUAUUAUAUGGGUCAGGUUUUGUAUCAUCCAAAUUUCCGUGGGGCUAAUUGAGCGGUUGGAAUCAAGGCAUGAGGAUUUCAGUGGGCGCGAGGUUAUCUUUGGUGGACUAUCGAGACAAGAAGACUGGAUGCAAUCUGGUCGACUAAGUGCCGCUACAACUGUUUCAUUAAUUCUCUACGGGUGCACUCAAACAAAUAAUGGAUGGUUCUCUCAGGGAUGGGUAUACGAAUACCCCUCUGUUGAUUUAUGUAUUUUUAAGUCUGCCUUGGUAAAUGGUGUGUGUAAAAGUUUGUUAUGAUUCAAGGUAUUCUGUUUUUACGUGAUUUACUAGGGUGCUAUUUUGGUGGUCUUGUAUGACGCAGAUCCCUUGUGCUUAUAUACAGCCAACACUUUGCUGGGCUGGUACUUUGUAUGCUCAGUUGUUUAAGGAAGCUCUUUAUUGCUGGUAAAAAAAGAAUGGUUAUCUUGGCAAGGUUACCAGACUCUGUUUGGUCUUACUAUAAAUGCGGCCAAAGGAGAUGAAAAGGGCGUUGCUCUGCAAGCAAUUGUAUUCUGGAGUUCUGAAGAGAUUGAUCAUAAGGGUUCUAAACCUGGUGAAACCAGUGAUUCAGAUCCUCAUUCUCUUUUCAUUGAAACGGCUUUAUCAUGUGGCUGGAGGGACAUGUUUAGGUCUUGUUGCUAGAACUGUAGAUGAUGCUGGUAUUCCUUUGGUUAGGUCAUUUGUGCUAAAAAAAUAUAUUAAAGGCUGAUUGGAAAUCUCGCGAGGCUGCCACACAUGCUGGUGGGUCAUAUCUUGAAGACGUAUGUGUCGAAUUGGUUGAUUCUGGUCUACAAUAUUUGCAUCUGUUACACGUUUUGCUUAUUUUUUGUAUAUUAUGUGUUUGCCAUGUUCUAGCUUUACUACAGUCUAAAUUAACCCGCUUGAAUACAUGACUUUAGAGUUAUAUCAUAGGAGGUUGAAAUGCUUUGUAUUUAUUAUAAAGAGUGAUUACAUUGAAGGGUUGUUUUGUAUCUAAUGAAAUAUGCAAGUAUUAAUUUGAUUGGUGUUUUAAAUGAUUA